This 72-nucleotide transfer RNA is filed under the name Heterocephalus glaber (naked mole-rat). It matches the Rfam family "tRNA". Rfam says of the family: Transfer RNA (tRNA) molecules are approximately 80 nucleotides in length. Their secondary structure includes four short double-helical elements and three loops (D, anti-codon, and T loops). The record is from Rfam by way of RNAcentral. Lineage: Eukaryota; Metazoa; Chordata; Mammalia; Rodentia; Bathyergidae.
GGGGGUGUGGCUCCGAAGUAGAGCACUUGCCUGGCAUGUACGAUAUCCUGGGUUCAAUCCCCAGUACCACAA